GAUGAACGCUGGCGGCGUGCCUAAUACAUGCAAGUCGAGCGAACAGAUAAGGAGCUUGCUCCUUUGAAGUUAGCGGCGGACGGGUGAGUAACACGUGGGUAACCUACCUAUAAGACUGGGAUAACUUCGGGAAACCGGAGCUAAUACCGGAUAACAUUUAGAACCGCAUGGUUCUAAAGUGAAAGAUGGUUUUGCUAUCACUUAUAGAUGGACCCGCGCCGUAUUAGCUAGUUGGUAAGGUAACGGCUUACCAAGGCGACGAUACGUAGCCGACCUGAGAGGGUGAUCGGCCACACUGGAACUGAGACACGGUCCAGACUCCUACGGGAGGCAGCAGUAGGGAAUCUUCCGCAAUGGGCGAAAGCCUGACGGAGCAACGCCGCGUGAGUGAUGAAGGGUUUCGGCUCGUAAAACUCUGUUAUUAGGGAAGAACAAAUGUGUAAGUAACUGUGCACAUCUUGACGGUACCUAAUCAGAAAGCCACGGCUAACUACGUGCCAGCAGCCGCGGUAAUACGUAGGUGGCAAGCGUUAUCCGGAAUUAUUGGGCGUAAAGCGCGCGUAGGCGGUUUCUUAAGUCUGAUGUGAAAGCCCACGGCUCAACCGUGGAGGGUCAUUGGAAACUGGGAAACUUGAGUGCAGAAGAGGAAAGUGGAAUUCCAUGUGUAGCGGUGAAAUGCGCAGAGAUAUGGAGGAACACCAGUGGCGAAGGCGACUUUCUGGUCUGUAACUGACGCUGAUGUGCGAAAGCGUGGGGAUCAAACAGGAUUAGAUACCCUGGUAGUCCACGCCGUAAACGACGAGUGCUAGAUGUUCGAGGGUUUCCGCCCUUGAGUGUCGCAGCUAACGCAUUAAGCACCCCGCCUGGGGAGUACGACCGCAAGGUUGAAACUCAAAGGAAUUGACGGGGACCCGCACAAGCGGUGGAGCAUGUGGUUUAAUUCGAAGCAACGCGAAGAACCUUACCAGGUCUUGACAUCCCUUGACAACGCUAGAAAUAGCGCGUUCCCUUCGGGGACAAGGUGACAGGUGGUGCAUGGUUGUCGUCAGCUCGUGUCGUGAGAUGUUGGGUUAAGUCCCGCAACGAGCGCAACCCUUAUUAUUAGUUGCCAGCAUUCAGUUGGGCACUCUAGUGAGACUGCCGGUGAUAAACCGGAGGAAGGUGGGGAUGACGUCAAAUCAUCAUGCCCCUUAUGACCUGGGCUACACACGUGCUACAAUGGCAUAUACAACGAGUCGCUAACCCGCGAGGGUACGCUAAUCUCUUAAAGUAUGUCUCAGUUCGGAUUGUAGGCUGCAACUCGCCUACAUGAAGUCGGAAUCGCUAGUAAUCGCGGAUCAGAACGCCGCGGUGAAUACGUUCCCGGGUCU
Molecule: ribosomal RNA, 1370 nt
Filed under: uncultured bacterium
Lineage: Bacteria
Description: bacterial SSU rRNA
Rfam family: Bacterial small subunit ribosomal RNA
Source: RNAcentral